Long non-coding RNA from Aethalodelphis obliquidens (Pacific white-sided dolphin), 2770 nucleotides. RefSeq lists it as uncharacterized. NCBI's taxonomy places the organism in Eukaryota, Metazoa, Chordata, Mammalia, Artiodactyla, Delphinidae. The record is from RefSeq and is a predicted model, not a curated record. The transcript has 2 exons.
ACAACUAGAGAAAGCCUGCAUGCAGCAAAGAAGACCCACUGCAGCCAAAAAUAAAUAAAAAAAUAAUUUAAAAAAAAAGAUUGAUAUGUUAUCCUGUGAGGCUUGAUAGUAUUAUUUACUUUCUCCUGCUUUUAACUCACUCCUGCUUGGUUUGUAUACUGCCUAACUCUCCUUUAGGUUAUUUUUUUUCUCGUUUUUAAAAAAGUGAUGUUCUCUGGGAUUUCGUCUUUAGGACUCCUACUUUACAUAUCCGUUGCUUCAGAUAUUAGCUAUACUCUUAAAUCUAUAACACCAACCUAAAUCUCAUUUCUUCAGAUUUGUGUUUAAAAUUCUGUUCAUCAUUUUCCAACUCAUAUUUAAAAUUACUUUUCUUCCCUCCUCAGGGAAUGAAUGAUAUUAACAUACACUCAGUCCAGAAUUCUGUAAUUUAGCCUAGAUUUUCACAAUUUUCCUGGAGGCCUCCCUCUCUUUAUUCCAUUCUGACAACUCCAUGUGGUGGACUGCAAAAUAGCCAUAGUUCUCUAUCGCUCCUAGUACCCAUGUCCAUUGCAGUGUGACUUUGCAGUUCCUCCCGUCAGGAAUUCCAUCCGUGUUAGAAUUCCGCAAACCUGGAACUCCCCUUGUUUCUUGAUUUGCUAAAAAGAAUGUGGGUAAUGACAGUAUGCCAACUCAGGCUCUAGGCCUCAGAGCCUUGUAUACUUCCACCUACACUACUGGAAACCUACCUGGCUACCAUGUGAACAAACUUGGUCUUGUGGAGAAUGUGGAGUAGCGGUGAAGCCAUCCUAGACCAGCCAGCUCUCAGCCAACUGCAGUUACAUGAAUAAGCCCAGCCAGGCCCAGAAGGACUGCCCGGCUGAUCCCAGCCCAAAUUGCCAAUUGAGUAAAGCGUGCAAAUGCAAGACUCAGAGUGUGAAGAAAUGGUUGCACCCCGUAUAGUGGCCAAAGAAAUAGUAUUCAGAACAUCUAAGGAAUUCCUACAUAUCAAUGAGAAAGAUGUAAAAUCCAAUAGAAAAUAGGCAAAAAACUUAAACAAGAAAUUCACGAAUAGGAAACCCACAUGAUAAGUAAACAAAAAAUACCCUUUGCCUCAUCUGUAAUAGAGGAAUGCAAAUGCAAAUCACAAUGAUAUUGUAUUACACAACCUCCAGAUUAAAAUAAGGAAUUUGACGAAUAACAAGUGUUGUAAAAGAUAGGAAAUAAUGAAAACUCUCAUCCUACUUGUGGGAGUAUAAAUUAGUAUAACCUCUUUGGAAAACAUUUUAACAUUCUCUUACAAAUUUGAAGAUGUUUAUAGCCUAUACAUACUAUUACAUUAUAAUGUGGUGGUUGAUUACAGACUCUGCUGCCAACUAUAUGGAUUUGAAGCCCAUCUUUCUAGUUCUGUGAUCUCGAGCAUAUGACUUUAUACAUAAAAAGAGUAAGAUUCUGUCCUCCUACCCUGCCUCCAAGAAUCAAUUUUUGCCCUUGUGGGGAUUGAAUGAGUUAAUGCUCAGAACAGUUCCUGGAAACUAAACACUAUAAAGUGUUUGCUGAACUGCUCAGAACAGUUACUGGAAAAUAAACACUAUAAAAUGUUUGCUAUCAUUGUUAUUUGCUAGUACUGUUGUUAUUAAUAUUACUUUACCACCGACAAAAUCACGCCUUCAUAUGUACACUUGUGGAGGAUUAGGAUACUAUACAAGAAUGUUCAUGUAAGAAUGAUUUUAGCAGCUGCCAACUGGAAACAAACCUAAUGUCCUUCAACAGUAGAAUGGAUAAAAAGUUAUGGUAUAGUCAUAUAACAAUGAAACAAUGAACUCUAGCUUCUCAUAAUACUAACUGAAAGAAGUCAAAUACAAAUGAAUACAUAUGGUAUGAAUCCAUUUGUACAAAGUUCAAAAGCAGCCAGAAUGAAACAAAAUCGUAAGAGACGCAGAUAUUAGUGGUAAAAUUGUAAGGAAAUAACAGUCAUAAAAAUUGGAAGGAUGGUUAUUUCCAUGGGAGUGAACAAGGUUGUGACUGGUAAUGGACAUAUGAGGGUUUUCUGCGGUCCUGGGUGGCUAUGUUUUAUAUUUUGACUGGGUGAUGUUUAUGUGAAUGUUUAUCAUUAUUAUUCAAUUAUACAUGUAUAUUUUAAUACAUUCUUCUGUGUAUCUGGUAUACCUCAUUGAGUUUCAUUUUUUAAACUAGUAAAAACUUUGGGAGUGGGAAAGAUAGCUGUUGUUUAAACUAACAGCAAAGGAAAGAGAAAUAAUAAAAUAAAAAUCUCUAAAUAGACUGUCUGAAAGGCUUUUGGAGACGCUUGCUUAAGAUCAUAGGAAGAAAAAGAUAUCAACAACCUCUUGCCCUGCCCCACACACGGCAUAUUGGGACUUAUUUAAAGAGCAUUUUACCAUUGUGUAUGAUGUUGUAUCUUUAAAGAUACAGAUUACUGGGUGCCCACUCUGAAGAUUCUAUAUGGGAUAGGGCCUGGGCACUUAAGAGGGUUAGACAGUUUUUAAAAGCUCUCUAGGAAAUUUUGACGAAUUUCUGAGAUUGUUUUUAGUAAAGCAGUAGAACUCAAACAACAACCACCCAUGAUUAAAUAAAACAGGAAAAUAAUUAUUUUGUUUCAAUUAAGGAUCAACAACAAGUUUUCUUUCUUUUUAAUUAGCUCGCCUCUUUCUUUUAGCCUAAACAAACUCUCCACAAUUUUGAUGUAUUCAUAGCAUUUUAUGAACUUGGUCAGUAUGGUAAUGUAAGAACAUACCUGUUUGCGAGGGAAAAUAAAGGUAAUGUUACUUUUGUG